This is a small nuclear RNA of Callithrix jacchus (white-tufted-ear marmoset), 104 nucleotides long. NCBI's taxonomy places the organism in Eukaryota, Metazoa, Chordata, Mammalia, Primates, Cebidae. The record is from Ensembl.
GAUUGGUAUUCCAUCCUGGGCAACAGAUUGGAACACUACAGAGAAGACUGGCAUGGCCCCUGAGCAAGGAUGACAUACAAAUUCAUGAAGCGUUCCAUAUUUUU